UGGCCAUUGGGACGCCUGGGGAGACUUGCCAAGCUGCCAAAAUAUUUGGACACCCAAAUGCUAGUGUUCAAACGCAUUUCUCCAUCAGGAUUCUGACUUCAUCCUCCUACUGCAUAUUUCUGCACCAUGUCCUUGCUUUCUGUCCUUGCAUCGUGACGCGUACCGGUGCGGCUUCGUGCCCCAUCGGAGAUGGUUAUCAGCACAAUGAUUUAAUGCCAAGCAAUGCAAGCAGGCAGUGUAAUGUCAGUGCUAUCUCUGCUCUCACCCCUCCAGCACUUUCAUAUCCUGCCGUGGUAACGCAAAGGAUUAAAGCAAAGAUGGGAGUGCUGAUGGAAGGGAGUGGUGUUGAUCUCAUCUCGUGUGCUGGUCCCACACUCCGCACCCAUUACAAUGAAAGAUCUUGUUCUGCAAGCACCACGGCUGAAAUAAAGAUGAGACAAGACAAACCACUAUGCAAUCAAUUAGGAUGCACGUCCUGAGGAAAAAAAAGGGACUGUUCUUUGGCUGUCUGGGAUUUUGAGGACAAUCAGCUGCCACCUGGGAUUAAAAAGGGAAUUUAAUCCAUUUAGGAGUGGGGUUUUGUGAUGGAGUGGUUCCUUGAGGGGACAUCCCCUCAGGGUAGGUUUACUGGCCCCUCAACAUGGAUGCUGGCCCCAUCCCAAAGCAGGAGCUGAGCCUCUCAGGCUGUCCCCAGUGAUAUGGGGAUGUGCAAAGCUG
Molecule: long non-coding RNA, 717 nt
Filed under: Phasianus colchicus (ring-necked pheasant)
Lineage: Eukaryota; Metazoa; Chordata; Aves; Galliformes; Phasianidae
Description: lncRNA (ENSPCLG00000001595.1)
Source: RNAcentral